This is a long non-coding RNA of Antechinus flavipes (yellow-footed antechinus), 352 nucleotides long. RefSeq lists it as uncharacterized. Lineage: Eukaryota; Metazoa; Chordata; Mammalia; Dasyuromorphia; Dasyuridae. The record is from RefSeq and is a predicted model, not a curated record. The transcript has 2 exons.
CUGCUUUCGCGGAGGACGCACCGGUAAUUGGAGUCUCGGCUUCGCAAGACAUGCCGGGAAAUGGAGUCCUUAGUCCCUCAUUGGCGAGCAGGCGAGGGCAUACUGGAGUAGUUCGCCAUUUCCUUCUCUAGCUCAUUUUACAGAUGAGGAAACUGAGACAAAGAGGAUUAAGUGACACUCCCAGGUCACACAAGUAGUAAGUGUCAAUACAGAUUUGACCUCUGGAAGAUGAGUCCUCCUGACUCCAGGUCCAGCAUUCUAUCCACAGUGCCAACUCCAUGUCUAUUUUUAAGCUACAAAUGCUGUGUUAUAGGAUAAGAUAAAGAGAAGGGAGUGAGUUUCUUGAACUAUG